Molecule: transfer RNA, 71 nt
Filed under: Caldimonas mangrovi
Lineage: Bacteria; Pseudomonadati; Pseudomonadota; Betaproteobacteria; Burkholderiales; Sphaerotilaceae
Description: tRNA-His
Rfam family: tRNA
About the family: Transfer RNA (tRNA) molecules are approximately 80 nucleotides in length.
Source: RNAcentral
GUGGCCGUAGCUCAAUGGCGGAGCCGCGGGUUGUGGUCCCGCUGGUGUCGGUUCGAUUCCGACCGGUCACC